AGAAGACUAAUGAAAGAAAAGAUCUCUACACUAUCCCAAACCCUCAGUCGAUGUAGCAGCACUCCACUUCAAAUCAGGCUAUUUAUUAGUCAAUGUAUUAACUGAAGCCCUGGCAGCAGGCUAUUUCAGUCUAAUCCAUAUCCAUCAUCAACUCUAUAUUGUAGACCAAUAAGAUUCACAUUUAAAAAAGAAGCAAUUGAAGUUUUAAAAUAAGAAAAUCCAUCUAUAAACAAUUCAAUUUAAUUCAAUUGAAAGUUGGUCAUCAUAUGUUGUGAAAACUCAUUUAAACUUCAUAAAAUUGAAAUAAUGAUGGUGAACGACUAAGUUGCUACAGCAUUAUCUAUAGCAGCUACAUCUUCUCAGUGUAGUUCAGUUUGUAAAUACAAUCCAACAAAAGUGAAUGAUAUUAAUGCAGCUUAAAAUAUGUUAUUGACAGAGAUAGGUCUCUGUUUUGGUCUUUUAACUCUUCAUGCUUGGAUUAAAAGCAUAGUAAGUCUUCUAAAAAUUAGUUAUAAAUUGACAGUGAGAAAGUCGGCUACAAGGAUACUAUUUGAAAAGAAAAUUAUUCAAUAGCAAAAACAGAAAAAUAAAAUAUGGCUUCGUGAUGAAGUAAUUGUUCAAGUGAGGCACAAGAAGAAUAAAAUAAAAACUUUAAGAAGUUUUUUUAACCAUUUUUCGAAAUGGGUUCAUGUUCCAAAACAAAUGAAGAUUAACAAAGGCAACUAAUAUAUUAUUUUGACCCUUUGCUAUGUAGUUUGAGAAAACCCUAUCCUGCUAAGAACGCUCUUCUCACUGGUGUUCUUUAUGUACUCAAAGAGGUUCCAAUUUUUGACUAAUUGUUAUUUGCAACUGCAUAGUUUUGAAUUUAGUUGGUAUUCAAGGUGGUGUUUA
Non-coding RNA from Hydra vulgaris (swiftwater hydra), 891 nucleotides. NCBI's taxonomy places the organism in Eukaryota, Metazoa, Cnidaria, Hydrozoa, Anthoathecata, Hydridae. The record is from RefSeq and is a predicted model, not a curated record.